AUAUCAUCGUUUUAAUUGUAAUUAAUUGCACUAAAAUUAAUUACAAUUAAUUACCAGCGGUUUUCAAAGGAAAGAAUGUAAAAGUAAAUUCUUUUUUCUCUUAAAAAACAUCUACGUAAUUACCUUAAUCUCCUAAUAUUGAUCUUCUCCUGUGAGUGUCAUCGGUUUAAUCCUCUGAUUGGAAUCUCUUUGUUAUUAAAAAUGGAUCAUAAAUUAUUACGUUCAACUAAAUUAACCAUUGAUUUGGAGCCUUCAACCAGGACUAAUUGUUGGGAGACUUUUCUCUUGAUUGUCAACAGAAAAUUAAAUUAUCAUCUAAUAAUCACGUAAUUAUAUCAUCAGUUGGAUUAUAAUGAAGACGAAAGGGAAAGGGGUUAACACGCAGUGAAAAAGGUUGAACCUGUUGAUUAGUUACAAUUGUUUUCACAAUUAAGCCCGUUGAUUGGGAGGGAAAAUGAUAUAUAAGAGAAUCCAAAUCCUCUGUCAAUCAUCAGUUCCAAUCAACAUCAACUAACAACAACAACAACCAACAGUUUCAAAUUGUCUCCUUGUGAUUAUCCAUCAUCAACAAUCAAAAUGAACAGUAAAUUAAUUUGUGUUAUCCUUAUCGUCCUCUUAAGUGUUUCAAUUAACGUUGAAGCCGGUGGAAAAGGUGACAAUAUUGUCCUCCAAGGUAAAUGUGGAUCAACAAUCUUAUCCUCAGGCAAGAAAGGAAAAGGUGAAAAUAUCAUCAUCAAAGAUCAUUGUGGAUGCGAACACGAUUCAUGGGACUCAUGGGGCUGGGGAGGCUGGUAAUCCUCAGCUGAUUCCAAAUUAAAUUCUGUUGAUCAGUUUAAAUAACCAAUUUUUUACUCUCUCUCUCUCUCUCAAUUAUCCCUCCUUCUCCGUUUCCUCCAUGGAAUCCAUCUCAUAUAAUCAUGAUUUUUUAUAUUACAAUUCUCAAUUCUGAAUCUGUAACAUAUUAUAUUCCAAAUUAAACAAGUUAAAUUAAUUAA
Long non-coding RNA from Panonychus citri (citrus red mite), 995 nucleotides. RefSeq lists it as uncharacterized. Lineage: Eukaryota; Metazoa; Arthropoda; Arachnida; Trombidiformes; Tetranychidae. The transcript has 3 exons. The record is from RefSeq and is a predicted model, not a curated record.